Gossypium hirsutum (cotton) is the source of this 107-nucleotide non-coding RNA. NCBI's taxonomy places the organism in Eukaryota, Viridiplantae, Streptophyta, Magnoliopsida, Malvales, Malvaceae. The record is from Rfam.
AAUCCAUGAUGAAGAAACCUUUUCGGAAGAUCAUUAAAUCUCUCCCAUGCAUCAUAAAGUAUCUCAAGCUCAAAGUGAGCAAAAGAAGAGAUGUCAUUCCUCAACUU